Molecule: long non-coding RNA, 14897 nt
Filed under: Sorghum bicolor (sorghum)
Lineage: Eukaryota; Viridiplantae; Streptophyta; Magnoliopsida; Poales; Poaceae
Description: long non-coding RNA (SBIC_LNC011444)
Source: RNAcentral
CUGGGAGCGUUGGCCUUGGCGGCCCGGUGGACGGACCGCAGCGCGUAGUUCCAGCGACAGAGCCCCGCCUGGUCCUUGAGCGCCUCCACGGCGCCCACGCUCAUCGCCACCAUCCACGACGCCUUCGCUGCAGCCGCCAUCAGUCUCCUGGUCGUCUUCUCGAGCUCUCGGCGCCUGGCUUGUCGAGCUAGCUUGGUGAUUGAUUCUCGAUGCGAUCAGAGUUGUUGUGUUGUGUUGAGGUGCAGAGAAGAGGUGGUGGGUGUGGGGUUAAUAUACUACUCGCGGUGCCGGCGGUGGCCGGUUGGUGCGGCGGAAACAGGUGGCCGCGGACGUUGGUUUUCCAGCAUACCGGGGGCUCCCCGCCUCUCCGCUCUGGUUGGUAGUGGACUAGUGGUAGUGAAGGUCGAUCUCGUCCCAGCCCAGUGACGCCGGUCCCCAUCAUCCCGUCGCCUUGUUUAUUAUUUGCUGCGAAAGCGGCCUGUCUGCGGUGUGCGGUGGCCUGUAACAUUGCUCCUGGACCAUGGUGGCAAGGACGCGUGCCGCUGCGGCUGCAGAUAGGAGUGCCACGAAGCACUGCUGCAGAGCUGAUCACCUUCCGGAUCCCGAGGCACGCAGCACAUGAUCCAGCGCGUACGUGCAGCGGUGCCGGUGCAGGUGCAGACCACCUCACUCGGCAGUCGGCACUCGCACGGUCGCACCGGCCAGGAGUAGUCGUUAGCUACUGCCUCCGUGAACGUCUCCUGCCUUUCCGGUUCUGAUUCGCAGCUAUGCAUUGAGCUAGCUAGAGUGAGUAUGCUAAUAACAACCUCCUAAACUUACUGUCCAAUCAAAUGUUUAACGUAUGUAUGAAGAUAUAAAGUAUUAAAUAUAAACUAAUUAUAAAAUUAAGAGAUUUUUUACGGUGCUUGGAGCGUUAAAAUAUUUUGCCUCCCGUUAAAAUAUUUUGCAGCAGAUUCUACUUAAAAAUUCUUAUUAAGGGCAGAUUAGUGCUUUUUUCCUACGGGGCAGAUUCUCAACUCUGGAAGGGCUCUCUCCAUGAAGGCACGAACUGUCGAGAUCUGCGUCGCCGCCCGCCCUGCUGCCGAGAGUCCGUCGUGUCCCAGUGCGGCGGCUUGUCGCAUCCUAAGCCGUUGCCUCGCCGCCAAUCGAGUCGGCAUCACCGUCACCACCACGACGCGUCUCCAUUGCCGCCCGCCUCGCUGCCUGUCGACGAAAGCUGGUCGGCAGUCUACCUUGGGUAUACCCCACGGUAGUAGUUUAUCGGUAGACGGUGCGCAAACUACGAACUCGAUGGUGACGCAAGACACGGGCGAGCUUUUUAUCCAGGUUCGGCCGCCGAGUUGGCGUAAUACCUACGUCCUGCGUCUGGUUGUAUUGAUUUGUGUUGAGAGAAUAACUUGUCCUAGGGGGGUCCCUUGCCCCUCCUUAUAUAGUCCGGAGGGCAAGGUUACAUAUCUGGAAACUAAUCCUAGUCGGUUACAAUUGCCAUAGAUAGUUCGAUAUCAAUUCCUAUUCCAACCGACUAGAAUCCUGCUUGAUCUUUAUGGCUUGUUCCCUUGCGCGAAACUCCAAUCUGUCGGAUCAAGCUUUGAGCUUGUCUCGUAAUGGGCCAAGUCUCCUGGCCCAAGUCUAGCCGUAAGGGUAUAGGGGUUUAUACCCCCACAGCUAGUCCCCGAGCACCAUGUAUUGUGAAGUAACACGCCAUCUUGAGCUUCUUCGACUAAUGAAAUUUUGACAUCUUCAAUCAGCAUGAAAUUCACCCAGACAGUUGCGACGGUAUUUUGACCAAAUCUAAACAUAUUUGAUCAACAUUGACAUCGAAGAAGCCAAUUGUUCGAAGAAUGCAUGGUGCUCUUGAGAAAAAAUAUUUCCUUCCUCGUGAAGUGUGCCCACUUUACUUUUCUUAAAAGUAUAGUCUUUAAAAAAAAAGCAAGCAUAUUCACCGCAAGGUGAAGUGUGCCCACUUAGUCCCCGAACCUGGUAGUAGGUGACGUAGGCACGUGGUGCCAGGGUCUAAAAAGAAAAUCAUAGAAAUUCUAAAACUGAGAUGCAUCGCCAGAUGCAUCGUACCGAUGUAGUCCCCGAGCUUGCUGGAAGGCGAAGUAUGAGCCUUGUAGCAAGGUCUAAAAAAUUGAACUUACUAGUCCCCGAGCAUAUCAUGCUCGUCUGCAAUUGAAUAGACUAAUCGACCAGUCCCCGAGCAUAUAACGCUCGGUGGUCGGUACAGUCCCCGAAUUCUCAAAUUGGUGGGCUGGUCGACCAGUCCCCGAGCGUAUAGUGCUCGGUGGUCGGUGCAAUCCCCAAAUUCUCAAAUUGGUGAGCUGGUCGACCAGUUCCCGAGCGUAUAGUGCUCGGUGGUCGGCACAGUCCCCGAGCACGGCGUAGGGACCGGUGGACAAGUCCCCGAGCGUGGUUGGGAACGUAAAUGUGCUCGGUGGUCGGCACAGUCUUCGAGCACAGCAUAGAGACUAGUCGACAAGUCCCCGAGCGUGGUUGGGAACGUAAACGUGCUCGGUGGUCGGAGCAGUCCCCGGGCACAGCGUAGGGAAUAGUCGACGAGUCCCCGAGCGUAGCUUGUCGACUGGGCCAAACCCCUGAAAAAUAAAUAUAAAGAAUAGGUAGUACAUGAUGUAUAAAUAAACUUUAGAUAAAAAAUCAGUACUGAGAUAAGUUUUAGAUUUUUUAUUAUAAAAUUAGCACGAGUAGUUAAUUCAUCCUAGAGCUUGUACCAACUCUGGUCUAGCCAACAAUCAGCAUGAGGUGCGGAACCUAGGCAUGCGUAGGAUUGUCAGCCACGUCAGAGAGCUACUGCCGACCACCCGGAACGCAGAGGGCGGAUCUCGUGCACGUGUAGGGAGGAGUCGGAGACAGUACCGGCUCUGGAAAGCUCGUGUAGGAGAAAAAACUAGUCGGCUAAAAAAGUUGUUUUGAAGAAUAAUAAUAUUAAAAAUAUUAUGCGAAAAAUAAAUAAGAUAUUAGAAGUGUACUUAUCUUUGGAUGAAAGUCUGGUCGGUGACGACAAAAUUGUCUGGCCCUCGAGCUUUUGGACUUGUUAUCGUGACGGUGGUCGCGGUUGUCGUAGCGCCGUUCUUCGCGGCGAUUAUUAUUGCGACUCUUGGUCAGAGCAAACAGGUCAAACAAGUUGGUUGAUAGGCUGAGCAGGUCGGUGUCGUCGAUCUGCCUCCUUUUGUACCAGAGAAGCGGCGACGCGUUGUCGGCGUGGUCGGAGACGUUGCUGGUGUGGUCGAAACCGUAGCUAGCGUGGUUGGAGCCGCAGCCGAUGUCGGUGAAGAAGUGAUCGGCACAGAUCGGAUCUACGCCUCCUCUGCGGUCAUGGCGGUGAAGCUGUUGAAGCCGACGAUGAACGUGAAGCCGCCCGCCAUGACCGCAAAGUUGGGGAUGAUGGCCAUCUUGUUCGUCGGGAGAGCUGUACGCACACCCCUUACCUGGCGCGCCACUGUCGACGAAAGCUGGUCGGCAGUCUACCUUUGGGUAUACCCAUGGUAGUAGUUUAUCGGUAGACGGUGCGCAAACUACGAACUCGAUGGUGACGCAAGACACGGGCGAGCUUUUUAUCCAGGUUCGGCCGCCGAGUUGGCGUAAUACCUACGUCCUGCGUCUGGUUAUAUUGAUUUGUGUUGAGAGAAUAACUUGUCCUAGGGGGGUCCCUUGCCCCUCCUUAUAUAGUCCGGAGGGCAAGGUUACAGAUCUGGAAACUAAUCCUAGUCGGUUACAAUUGCCAUAGAUAGUUCGAUAUCAAUUCCUAUUCCAACCGACUAGAAUCCUGCUUGAUCUUCACGACUCUAAGCUGUCGGAUCAAGCUUUGAGCUUGUCUCGUAAUGGGCCAAGUCUCCUGGCCCAAAUCUAGCCGUAAGGGUAUAGGGGUUUAUACCCCCACAGUGCCUCAUCGACAAUCGUCUCGCCACCGCCCUCACCACCACCACCAGCAUCGCCGCCGCCCUCACCAUUAGCACGCGCCUCCUAGAGUCGCCACCGCCGGCCCGCCCGCCACCGCACGCAACUCCAAACCGGCGACGAAUAUCAGCUCUCCUCACCGCUGGCCGUUCUCCUAGGUGUCGCCAGCGACUGCCUGCGAGGGGUCAUCGUCUUCCUUUGACUGGUGUGUCCUGCACGGUCUGAGUACUCGUUGCUGCUCUGCCUAGCCAGUAAUCAGAACAUUGGCCCUUUUCUAUGCAUGACAUGGAGAAAUACAUUGAGAAUUAAUUGAAACACGGAAUCUGAUCAUAGGAACGAGAUUCAAAUGACCUUCAACAUAUCUACAGUACAGGUCCAUCAUAACAUGCUCAAGAUGAACAAAAGAGGACGUACCUGCAGGGCCUGGCCAUCGGAGACUGCACGCGCUAGGGAGCACCUGAGCCAGAGACCGUGCUCGAAGAGUGCGCCAGCCAGGGGACCAUCGCGCCGACAGCAUUACGAGAGGGAGAGCCGUCCCCCACGUACCUCGCCGCUGCCGCCAUCACCUCCUUGCAUCGCCGCACCACUGCCGCCGUCGUGUUGUGCGCUGCUGCACGUAUGCGGGCAGCAUGCUCCGUGCUACAUCCGCCCAAGAUGUAGCCAGAACUGGGGCCUUGCGGGCCCCGUGCAUCCUGCCCCGCCGCUUGUUGCCUCCUAUACAGCCCGCCGUCGCCGCCGCCUGUGGUUGGCUCGCCCUGGCACUUCGUGUGCCUUGCCGCGGCAACCUCGAGUGCGGGAGCCAUGGCCUUGACCACACGCAUGGCCUUAUCCGCCAUGAGAUCCCACCGGCUGGUCGGCGUGUCCUGUUUUUGUGAUUUGGGGACGGGCUGGCGAAGAUUUGGGGCACGGUCUGAGCAGCUUCUUAUUCUGAGGAGAAGUUCAUUUUUUUAAAUUAGAAGCAGCUUCUAAAAUGUUAGAAAUACAAUAAUAUCCUUUGAUUUUAAUUACAAACUAGUUCAGAGCCCACAAAAUUUUGGUCCCGGCCCACGACUUAAGUUCCUCUUAUUUGGUUCUUCCUAUUUUCAGACCAUUAGAUAUAAUGAAAUGAAGAGCUCUCGUUAUUUCCAAGCGUAGCAAAAUUUCUCAUGACGAUUUGUUAAACCUAAUUAGUUUAUAAUUUGAUAAUAUAGUGUUACAAUAAACAUAUAUUAAUGAUAAAUUAAUUAGAUUUAAUAAAUUUAUCUCCUGUAAUUUGUUUUAUUUUUUAAUAUCCGAACUGUUUUAUUUUACAUCUUAUAUGAUGUUCCACUUGACAUCUUCUAAACUUUAGUCCUUGCACACUAAAUUUUUCAAUUAAGGAGCCGCAAACCAGCUAGGCAAGUUUGAGCUACCCAUGUGCAGUCAUAUUAGCUUUUUUUUUACGAUUAACAAAACCGGACAGUACACAGUAGCGAACACAUUGUGAUCCGACAAGAAACUUCUUGCUUUCUUAGCGAGGGGAAAAGUAGUCGAGUAGUUAAUUAUUUUUUAACGUGCUAGAUCCUAUGGGGGCUUAAGCGCAGAUUGUUCCCAUGUGCUAAGUACUUAUGGAGUAUCGAUCUGUCAAACUGCUGCGGAGACUCUGCUCUGCUCUCGGCUCCGUCUUUCUAACACAAACACACUUUUUACCCCCAAAAACUUGAGAGGCCAUGAUUAGUUUUCUAGGGCUUUGUUAACUUAAAAAAAAUUACAAAAUAUGAAUAUUAGCAUUUUCGUUUGUAUUUGACAAAUAUUAUCCAAUUAUGUACUGACUAGGUUCAAAAUAUUCGUCUCGUCAAUUCCGAUUAAACUGUGCAAUUAGUUUUUAUUUUUAUCUAUAUUUAAUACACCAUACAUACGUCUAAAGAUUCGAUGUGACGGAGAAAUCUGAAAAAUUUUUAAAAUUUUUGGGAACUAAACAAGGCCCCAAGAGGAGUGGGGGAAUCGAACAAGGCCUGACUCGGGAAGUCCGGAAACUGAAUUCGGUACUACACCACCUGGCCCAUGCAUGUCAGUUAACAAGGGGCCUCUGUUGAACUUUGAACAUGAAACCGUGAUCCCAUCAGGCAUCAGCAUAUGAGAUAUCAGUGUAGUGUAAAUAACAUGGUGCUUUCAGGCUUCCGCUGUCAUGAAAUAGGACAGUCCAGGAUUUCAUAUUAUCAUGCUUGCCGGUCAUGACUAUAAAUAACAUGUCUUCGAACUCAAAGCUUCCAGAUUUCACGCCAGUGUACAGAAUCAGAAUGGUCACUCGAUCAUACACAGUAGAUUACACUCGAAUUAAGUGGCUGAACUUUUCAUCAUCAUCCAAUCGUCGUCAUACAUUUACAAUAAUCAGGGUGAGCCACACCGGCAAAGGUCACAAGCCCAGCUCGGUCGCUGAAGAAGAACAAGACGAACUCCAACUACGGCUAGUUACUUAGUUAGGUCCCCAGCAGCUGAGGUACAUGACGGUCCUCAUCCCCUCCUCCGCGGCCUUGUCCGCCCGUCUCGUCUCCGCCGUCGUCGCCGCCGGCGGGGCCAGCUUCUUGGCCUGCGCGGCGAGGCUGCUGCGCACGUUGGCCUUGGCGGUCCGGUGGACGGACCGCAGCGCGUAGUUCCAGCGGCAUAGGCCCGCCUGGUCCUUGAGCGCCUCCACCGCGCCCACGCUCAUCGCCACCAUCCACGACGCCUUCGCCGCACCUGCCAUCUCCUGACUCCUGGUCUGGUCUUCUCUUUCUCCCUCGAGAGAGCGCGCGGUCACUGAUCGCUGAUCGCUUGUAGUAGCAAGUGAGGUUGCUUGAUGCUGUGUUGGGAGAGGCGAGCCGGGGCGGGUGGGUUUAUAUGUACCGGCGGGCGGCGGGAGGUCGGGGGCACGGCGGAAACGGGUGGGCGCGGACCCUGGUUUUCCUGGAUACCAGGGGCUCUCGCUCACUGGUCACUGCCUGCGGCUCGCUUUCUUGCGCGCCGGCCCAGUGGGUCGCCCACUUGACUCGUCGUCUUGUUUAUUCGCGGCAGAAUCGGAGACAGCGACGCGUGCCGCGCAACCGCAAAUACGGGAUGCCACGCGCACUGUGCCACUCACUGGCACGCAUCGUCAUUAUCCUUUGCAUUGUAGCUGGACUGAUUGGGAUUAGUGAAUAGAGAUGGGCACGCGGUGGACGGUGGUAGUAGUUUUUAUCAGAUCUGUGAUGGCCUGCUGUGCAUUGUCUUGCUUUCAGCAAACAGGACGAGGGAUCCUAUCCUAGCAUGUAGCGAUCUGUAAAUAAUGAAAUCCAUCGCGUGGAAUGAUGAGCAGGAUUCUACGGAUCAAUCGAGGCAGCCGUCCAGGAAUCUUGUUCACGUUCUUGGUGACCAUCGUUACUGUAUUUGUUAAGAUAAUCCCAUCCGUUUUUAACACGCUAAAUCACAUGGGUUAAUGGGUACAGCUGCAGAUUGUUUGUUCUGUUGUCACCGCACAGUGAGUGUGAGACACUGAAACUCUGAGGGUGACGUUUUUGGCAUAAUAUAACCAGACGCCACAGCACAUGGUUUUCCUUGAUAUACCACAGCACAUGGAGCGUUUGCUAACGCAACUUUUACAUGCAUGAAUGUUCACCGCGGUGUGAUUUGUGUGACACUGGUAAAGUAUGGGCUCAUAUCGUCUCGUUCUUACGCGUUACGCCAAAAUGAAAAAUAUCGUUUCGUUCAUAAAUAUGUCUCAACAUGUAAACAAGAUUUUUACGGUGUGAGGGUGGGUAAAACACAAUUUUUUCCACCAAAAGGGUCGCCAAAAACAUUUACGGUACGAUAUACAUAGACCAUCCCCCUGCAACUUUGGUCCGCCGAAUUAGGAGCAAAAACAACUCUGGCCCAAAAUCAAAAGAAGUAGACCAUGCAAUCACCCAAUGACCCAACACCGCAAGUGGCUGAAGCGUCGUCCCCACCCCCGCACUGCACCGGAGGGGGACGGAACGGAUGGGCGGGCCGGCCAGGAACAGGUGGCCGCGAUGAUGGUUUUCCUGCAUACCGGACCGGCACCGGGGGCUUUCCUUUGUUUGCGACAGAAACGGCUGGCCCGCGUCGCUUGCAGUUGCAGAGAUAGGAACGGACAGUAGACCCAGCAACCAUCACCGUGCCACUGGACCACUCCCCUGCCCAUCCUCUGUAUCUAGGCAAGACAGGCAAAUUACUUAAUUAAUUAUUUUUUAUCUAUAUUUAAUGUCUCACACAUGUACUAUAAAUUCGAUGUGAUAGAAAAUUUUGAAUUUUAGGAUGAACUAAACAAAACCUUGGUAUUGGUACUAGUUUCAGUAGAGAUUUCAUAUUUAGGUUUUGUUUAGGCCUUGUUUAGUUCAUCUAAAAACUAAAAACUUUUUAAGAUUUUUCGCCGCAUCGAAUCUUUUAUCACAUGUAUCAAAUAUUAAAUAUAGACAAAAACAAAAACUAAUUGCACAGUUUACCUGUAAAUCACGAGAUGAAUCUUUUGAGUUUAUUUAGUAUAUGAUUGGACAAUAAUUUCAAAUAAAAACGAAAAGCUACAGUACCCGAAAUAAAAAAAAUUAAACUAAACAAGCUUUAGGCCCCCUUUGGAACGAGGGGGAAACACAGGAAAAGUGAAGGAUAGGAAUUUCACAGGAUUUUUUCCUAUCCUGUCCUUUGGUUCACACGAAGAGCAAAGGAAAACUUCCGGAGGAUGGCAUUCCUACGCUCGAUUUCGGAGGAAAACGAGCAUGAGCUCAGAGCUCAUGGAAAGAAUCCUGGCACGAAAAGAAAAUGACUCGCGCGCACCUGCGGAGCUGCCAUGCUGUUCGGCGCUAAGCACGGGCGAGCGCCACCGCCGCGCGCGGGCCUCGCAGCUGUCGUGGGCGGCCCCUGCAUCGACGGAGGACGACGACCGGAGUCCAUAGCGACGCGGAGGCGGAGGCUGGAGCGGCGGCCGGCGGAGGAUGUGAGGCGGCGCGGAGCCCUCGAUGUUGGCGAGGCCGGCGCGGUGCGAGGCAACGGCGGAGGCUCGGAGCCCCGGCGCGGCCAGGCUACCCUUCGCUGCCGCGCGCGGGGAGAAAAAGCGGGCGCCGAGUGAGAGAGAUAGAGAGCCGCGCGGUGGGGCGGCGCCGUACGCCCGCGGCCGGGCCUGCCCAGUAGCGGCGACAGAGAGAGCCGAGGGGAUGCUCAGCAAGCAGCGCACGAGGUCGCGCGGCGGGAGGCACAGCUGGCCGAGAUCUGGCUGCGGAUUCGGCAGCACCGGGAGCGGACGCGCCGCGUGGCCGCCGGUGGGGAGAGCUGCGGGGUGGGGGCGCGGAUGGGGAGCGUCGCCGUCAGCCUCGGGCGCGCGCAGGUGGAGAGAGGUGGGGGGCGGAUGGGGGCGCCGCCGUCGGCCUUCCGGCCUCUCCCAGUAGAGAGCCGCGAGGGACGCGGAGGAUUUCGAACGCGGAUUGACGGGUGGGUGGGUGGGACCGUGGGAGUGUACCACUCAUUUCUGCAUUUUUUUUAUUAAUCCUGAGGGAUCGAGGGACCUGCCGCCAAAGGGUUUUUUGCUGCCUGCACUGUUCCGGUAGGAAUCAACAAGUCGCGCACUUGCAUUCCUACGAUUUUCCUUUUCCUAUCCUCCGCCUACAGUACAAUCCAAAGGGGGCCUUAGUUCCCACCUUAAAACUUCUCAUCCCAAGACAAAUGUUUUGAGCUUAUUUCAUGAGUAGAUACUAUAUAGUUAUAAAUGUACUACAAUAACUAAUAAUUUUUCUUUUCGCGAACUAAACAAGUCCUUACUUCUAAACUACACUAGUACUCUAUCCCAAAUUAUAAAUCAUUUUAAGAAUCUUAUAGAGUUAAAUCAUCUCAAGUUUGACUAAAUUUAUAUGAUAACAUAAUAAUAUUUAUGAUAUCAACUAAAUAUCAUUAGGUUCUUCAUUAGUUAUAUUCUUAUAGUAAUAUCUAUUUGUUGUUAUAAAUCUUUCUAAUUUUUUUCUAUAGUGUUAGUUAAAUUUGAGAUGCUUUAUAAAUUGGGAGGGAGUACAUCUGACUCGAGGUCAGCCUUCCCGCCUUCUCAGUAAACUAGUCCGUCUUUGCACUCACUGAAUCGCGUGGUUAGCUGUUUACAGGAAGGAACACAAAAGUAGAACUACAGCCAAACUGAAACGGAGUCAUGGAGACCCACUUUGCAUAAGCACAGUUUGUCCCUGAACCUCGGAGACCAUGAUUAGUUUACUCUUCGACGAUGAUCACGGUUGAGCAACGUGGACUGCAAAAUUUUGAUGCAGAGGGGCCUCUAAAUUGACCUCUGAUGAACCGAAACUGAGCUGAAAAAAGAGUCUUGCUGUAUCAUUUUUGUCCUCUAAGAGAUGCUCCUAAACUGUUGUCAUGGAAGAGUACAUCCCACAACCUGAGAUUGCCAUUCCACGUUUGCCAUCACCGAUUGUUCUGUUUCAGCACAUGGAGGCAUGAAACACCACCGAGUUCUUGUUUUGAACCCAGAGAGUUUAAAUCCCCACAUCCAAGUCUGCACAUUCAGUAUCAGAACCAUUCAAAUACUCAUGUGAAGGAAAAGAAACUUUUCAUCAUCAUCAUCAUCGUGAUCCUAUUCCUAUUUUACAAUCGCAGGAGGCAACCGGCCAGGUUUCAGGUCUCAACCCAGGCCAGGUUGCUGCACUGCAAGCCGAGACAGGGACGGCUGAACUGAACACGGAAGCCUAGCUCUAAUUGGGGCCCCAGCAGCUGAGGUACAUGACGGUCCUCAUCCCCUCCUCCGCCUUGUCCGCCCGCUUCUUCUCCGCCGGCGCCAGCUUCUUCUUGGCCUGCGCGAAGCUGGGAGCGUUGGCCUUGGCGGCCCGGUGGACGGACCGCAGCGCGUAGUUCCAGCGACAGAGCCCCGCCUGGUCCUUGAGCGCCUCCACGGCGCCCACGCUCAUGGCCACCAUCCACGACGCCUUCGCUGCAGCGGCCAUCUUUGUAUCUGCUUCUUGAGCUGGAGCCUAACGCGCCUUGUUUUUGCUACAGAGUGAGAUCUGGUUGUUGCCUUGGUGAAUUGGUGAUCGGUGUAGAUGCUGUGAGUGAGCGAGGUGGGGCGUGGUGGGUUAUAUAUACCGGAGGGAGGACUGCAAACAAGCGGCCGCGGGCGCUGGUUUUCCUGGAUACCGGGGGCUCUCCGCUCUCAUUGCCUUGUUUCCCGGCAGGUCGCUUUCCCCGCACCGGCCCCUUGCUCGGCUCACCUAUCUCGUCGUCUUGUUUAUUCGCCGCAGAAACGGCCGGUCUUCAGUGUCGCGGGCAGAAACGACGAAGAGCGUGCCGCGCAACCGUUUCUGCCACAGCACACGAGCACGAUGCAUCUUCUCUCAAAGCAAGGCUAAUAAUAUAGCCGGCUGCUGGGCUGUAAGGUUUUUUUACAGCUUUUUUACGGUCUACUCAUAUAAUGGUUAGCUCAUCACUAUUAAUAUAUGACUCACUUGUCUGUCUUAUAAAUUUUUUUGGUUUUUGUGUCUGAGCCGGCUGCAAGGCCAGUCUCAGUGGAGGUUUCACCAGGAUGUUAUGCACAUUUAUUAGAGCGCCAUGUCAGCAAAACUGCACUUUUUGCAUGAAACAAAGAGAAGAGAGAAGGAAGUAGUUUCACCAUGGUGAAACUCCGCUGGCGUUGUUUCCCACGCGGUGAAACAGGAUGAAAUCUCCAUUGAGGACUAAAUCGUUUCACCAUCUUGCAUGUGAUCCAAUCAUUUUGCAGUAAUUAAAUGCUUUGCCCAGCUUAGGAAAUAUCAAGAUGGAACUCUGCGUUGUGGAGGUUGUUUCAUUUUUCGUUUCAUUGAUGCUCUGUCAGCAUAUUUGUUUUGGAAACAGUGCAUUGAAACGGGCCAUUGAGACUGACCUAAGUUUACAGGCUGCUUUUACUCUCUCUCCUAUUCUCUCUCUUCCAUCUCAGCAUUUAGUCAGCUUACAGCUUGCUAUAAUACUUGCUCUUACAGUAGUACUGAAAACUGGAGUACAAUUUGGUCUACCAAUUAGGAAGGAAUCAAGCAAAGUAGAUGUUUUUUUUUAUGUUUUAUAUAUCCUACCAAGUGGUGGCCGCCCGUGCGUUGUCAGCGAACAUGAGGGAGGGAGGGAGCUGCCAGAUUUAAGGUCUCACUCGAGUCGUCCAGCAGUCCAGGAAUCUUCUUGCUUUCUUGAUGAAUUUGAGCGGCAUUAAGCUAAUCUGUUUCCACGCACUGAGUCACAUGAGUUAGCUGCAGUUGUUACCGCGUGCUUUUGGAGCAGCAGCGAGAAGAGCCCGACACUCGUUUGGCUUAUAAGCCAUAGCAAAAAAUAUUGUUAGCUGAUUUGUUAUAAAAGAAAAAUAUUAUUGAAUAACUAGCCGAUUGAGAGCGAUUGCUGAUGCCUGAUGCAGUUUAUGUGGAGGGAAAAUGGUAUUUGAACAUAGAUAACGCUCUGCUGUGGUCGUCUGUGAGACUGUGACUCAGCUUCUCAGCAACUAGCUACAUCAACCUGACGUUCAGUACUGGGCUUCAUCCAUCUCGUUUGUCUUCCAUCAACACUUCUCGAGAGCCAAAUGCUAGUUUGGGGGUAUGUCCUCUGUACUUCUUCAGCGGGUUGUUUGGGAGUAGAAAGAACUAGAAACUGUCAAACUGAAAUGGAGACCGUGCUGUUACUUUGCUUCAUCAUAAAGAUAAACGCCGCUAUUUCCCUAAAUAAAACGUUGGAGCUCAGACCUGAGAUUAACUUAACCUCCGAUCAGCAUGAGUUAGACUGUAUAAGCUUUUUUUUCUUAUCAUUAUGCUCUAAAGGGUCAUCAAGUGACGGGGUUCAGAACCUGAGAUUAUCAUCUCAAAUCUGCCUUGAUCGAUUGUUCUACCGUACCGUAGCACAUCGAAGCAAGCAACGAACCACAGAAAGCUAUUGUUGAGUUGUUUUGAGCGCAAAGAGAGAUCGAGGAGAGCACAGUACUCCAAUUACAGAAGGCAGAAGCAUUCAUUCAUAUACUCAGAAUGAAGAAACAGAACUUUUCAUCAUCAUCAUCGUGGUCAUAUUUUUACAACCAGAGGACCGAUCUGGGUUACUGAAAGCUGGAAAAGAGCUAGAGGACCUAAGCAACUAUGCCCAAUAACUAAUUAGGGCCCCAGCAGCUGAGGUACAUGACGGUCCUCAUCCCCUCCUCGGCCUUGUCCGCCCGCCUCCUCUCCGCCGGCGCCAGCUUCUUCUUGGCCUGUGCGAAGCUGGGAGCGUUGGCCUUGGCGGCCUGGUGGAUGGACCGCAGCGCGUAGUUCCAGCGGCAGAGCCCCGCCUGGUCCUUGAGCGCCUCCACGGCGCCCACACUCAUCGCCACCAUCCACGACGCCUUCGCUGCUGCCGCCAUGUCCGUCCUUCUCCUGCUCCUCCUCGGUUCUUGGUGGCUACAGAGUUCGGUUGGUCAGGUGUGCUGCUCGCUGAAUCGCCGAUGACUCACAGUAGGAUGUCAAGUUGUGUGAUGCUGUGUUGUGGUGAGCUGGGAGGCGGGCCGGCGGGGCGAGUUAUAUAGCGGAGGGAGGCCGGCCGCGAGGGGUGGGCCGGCGGAAACAGGUGGCCGCGGACGCUGGUUUCCCUGGAUACCGGGGGCUCCGAUCGCACUCUCCUCCAUGCUUGUCUACGUUACGCCGCAGAGGCGAUCGCUUUCUCGGCACCACACCGGCCCAGUGGGUCACUUGGCUAUCUUGUCUUGUUCCGUGAUGGGAUAACGCAUCUCUGGAUCACUGAAUCUAGUCUGCUUGUGCUUUACAAUUGUCCUUUCGGUUUUUACCAUAUGGCUUAGCUGAUUAUAUUAAACUAAUCCGUUUCUAAUGCAAUGAAGCACAUGGAUUUGCUGCAGAUUUUUUUAUUAUUUAUUUAUUUUACCACAUACUCAUGGAUCACUGAGAGGGACAUUGCGGGAUUGCUGGACGCCAUAGGACAUGGUUUCCAGGAUACCGUGGGCUAUUCCGCUAUUUGCUGAUGCCAUUCGGGCAUGUUUGGUUACGGUCCUACCAGACCACCAAUCAAACACGUCCUUUAUGCGUCUAUAUAGAAAAAAAAAACUAUUUAAACACCACCGUGCUGCGGGCAUGUGGCCUGUGACUGACAGCUUCUCAAUGAACCGUACUUUUACGGAAGCAAUCAAAUUUUACCUGUCUGGCGGUGGUUCAAACAUGAACAACCCCUAACUUCCCUUCUUUCUGCUUCUGUCAUUUACCGACGACUCCCAUGUCGUCCUCUUGCCGUGACAGGGAUGAUAUCACCCUUUUCCCUGUCAUGGACUCGUGUGUCAUUUAGCAACCGCUGAUUAUUGCAAAGUAGAGAGUGCCACACGGAAAUAGAGGCCGUGCUGUUGCUUUGCUUCACCACAAAUCAAGCACAGUUUUUUCCCCCCUAAAAACUUGGACGCCAUGUUCAUGUCUAACUGAAUUCUGUUCAUUAAUGUGGACUAGGUAAAGGUGUGCGAGGUUCGCACGGGUAGGCCUGAAAUGAAGCUUUAAAAAACUGUGCUUGAUCUAUGCUGUCAUUUCCUCCGCUGCUGCGGGUCAUGGUCAUCAAAGUGCAGUGUUCAGAAUAUGAGGUUAUCAUCUCAUAGCAUUUGAGUGAUUGUCGCUGCUUUAAUUAGCACACCGAAGCAUCGAAUUCGAAUCCCCACGAACUCUUGUCAGCGCAGAGGAUUCGUAGAAAGCACAACAACAAGCAUUAGGCAACAGAAGCAUCCAUAUACUUGGAUGAACUGACAGAACUUUUCACCAUCAUCAUUUGCUCUUCUAUAUUUACAGUCAGGAGGACGAAUCGGCCGCCAAGCUCGCUCAUCUGCUGAAACCUCAAAGCUGGAACAGAGCAAGAGGACCUAAGAGGCUAAGACCUAUGACGACUAAUUAGGGCCCCAGCAGCUGAGGUACAUGACCGUCCUCAACCCCUCCUCCGCGGCCUUGUCCGCCCGCCUCCUCUCCGCCGGCGCCGGCGCCAGCUUCUUGGCCUGCGCGAAGCUGGGAGCGUUGGCCUUGGCGGCCUGGUGGAUGGACCGCAGCGCGUAG